Molecule: ribosomal RNA, 274 nt
Filed under: uncultured bacterium
Lineage: Bacteria
Description: partial 16S ribosomal RNA
Rfam family: Bacterial small subunit ribosomal RNA
Source: RNAcentral
AUACGGAGGGUGCAAGCGUUACUCGGAAUCACUGGGCGUAAAGCGCGCGCAGGCGGCUAUUUAAGUUGGAUGUGAAAGCCUACGGCUUAACCGUAGAACUGCAUCCAAAACUAUUUAGCUAGAGUGUGGGAGAGGAAGAUGGAAUUAGUUGUGUAGGGGUAAAAUCCGUAGAGAUAACUAGGAAUACCAAAAGCGAAGGCAAUCUUCUGGAACACUACUGACGCUGAGGCGCGAAAGCGUGGGGAGCAAACAGGAUUAGAAACCCUAGUAGUCC